UAUUUUGUAAAGUUGUUCUAGUUUUGUAACUAAAAUGGUUUGGCAGUGAGCGAUUCUUAUUAGGGGAAUAUGCAUAGUGAAGGAUGGUCCACCUAUUAGUUUACUCUUUUUAUGUUGGUGUAUGUCUGGUUUGAUAUUAUUGUUGAAUAAUUUAAGUUUGUGUAGUUUUAGUUAAGCUAAGUCUAUGUGCUGCUUAUGGGAGUUUUUGUGUGUUACAUUAAUAAGGGUGUUAUUGUAAGAUGAUGUGAUUUAGA
RNAcentral lists this ribosomal RNA (254 nucleotides) under Echinococcus granulosus. RNAcentral's name for it is "partial small subunit ribosomal RNA". The record is from RNAcentral. Lineage: Eukaryota; Metazoa; Platyhelminthes; Cestoda; Cyclophyllidea; Taeniidae.